AACGGUCUAUACCUGCGGUACCUGCGGAAGGAUCAUUACCGAGUUUACAACUCCCAAACCCCUGUGAACAUACCACUUGUUGCCUCGGCGGAUCAGCCCGCUCCCGGUAAAACGGGACGGCCCGCCAGAGGACCCCUAAACUCUGUUUCUAUAUGUAACUUCUGAGUAAAACCAUAAAUAAAUCAAAACUUUCAGCAACGGAUCUCU
RNAcentral lists this unclassified non-coding RNA (207 nucleotides) under soil metagenome. Its description in RNAcentral is "partial contains 5.8S ribosomal RNA, internal transcribed spacer 2, and large subunit ribosomal RNA". The record is from RNAcentral.